UACGGAGGGAGCUAGCGUUAUUCGGAAUUACUGGGCGUAAAGCGCACGUAGGCGGCUUUGCAAGUCGGGUGUGAAAUCCCCAGGCUUAACCUGGGAACUGCAUUCGAGACUGCAUUGCUAGAGUAUGGGAGAGGGAAGUGGAAUUUCCGGUGUAGCGGUGAAAUGCGUAGAUAUCGGAAGGAACAUCAGUGGCGAAAGCGACUUCCUGGACCAAUACUGACGCUCAUGUGCGAAAGCGUGGGGAGCAAACAGG
RNAcentral lists this ribosomal RNA (253 nucleotides) under uncultured bacterium. RNAcentral's name for it is "partial 16S ribosomal RNA". It matches the Rfam family "Bacterial small subunit ribosomal RNA", at positions 524 to 776 of the family's 1533-position model. The record is from RNAcentral.